RNAcentral lists this ribosomal RNA (878 nucleotides) under Candidatus Uzinura diaspidicola. Its description in RNAcentral is "bacterial SSU rRNA". It matches the Rfam family "Bacterial small subunit ribosomal RNA", at positions 296 to 1174 of the family's 1533-position model. The record is from RNAcentral. Lineage: Bacteria; Pseudomonadati; Bacteroidota; Flavobacteriia; Flavobacteriales.
GAGGGAAAACCCCCACACUGGAACUGAGACAAGGACCAGACUUCUACGGAAGGCAGCAGUGAGGAAUAUUGGUCAAUGGAGGAAACUCUGAACCAGCUAUGCCGCGUGUAGGAAGACAGUCUUUUAGAUUGUAAACUGCUUUUACAUAGAAAUAAAAGUUACUACGGGAUGGUAACCUGAAGGUACUAUGCGAAUAAGUGUCGGCUAAUUUCGUGCCAGCAGCCGCGGUAAUACGAAAGACACAAGCGUUAUCCGGAUUUAUUGGGUUUAAAGGGUGUGUAGGUUGUUUAUUAAGUCAGUAGUGAAAGCUUACAGCUUAACUGUAAAAUUGCUAUUGAUACUGAUAAACUGGAGUUAGAUUGGAGUAUCUGGAAUGUAUGGUGUAGCGGUGAAAUGCAUAGAUAUCAUACAGAACACCAAUAGCGAAGGCAGGAUGCUAAAUCUUCACUGACGCUGAGGCACGAAAGCGUGGGUAGCAAACAGGAUUAGAUACCCUGGUAGUCCACGCCCUAAACUAUGAUCACUAGCUAUUGGAAAAAUGAUAUUCAGUGGCCAAGCUAAAGCGAUAAGUGAUCCACCUGGGAAGUACGAUCGCAAGAUUGAAACUCAAAGGAAUUGACGGGGUUUCGCACAAGCGGUGGAGCAUGUGGUUUAAUUCGAUGAUACGCGAGGAACCUUACCAAGGAUUAAAUGUAUUCCGAAUAAGCUGGAAACAACUUAGUCUAUAAGACGUAAUACAAGGUGCUGCAUGGUUGUCUUCAGUUCGUGCUGUGAAGUGUUUGGUUAAGUCCUAUAACGAGCGAAACCCCUAUUGUUAGUUGCCAUCGGGUAAAGCCGGGGACUCUAACAAAACUGCCGGUGUAAAUCGUGAGGAAGGU